Branchiostoma belcheri (Belcher's lancelet) is the source of this 979-nucleotide long non-coding RNA. RefSeq lists it as uncharacterized. The record is from RefSeq and is a predicted model, not a curated record. Lineage: Eukaryota; Metazoa; Chordata; Leptocardii; Amphioxiformes; Branchiostomatidae. The transcript is spliced from 3 exons.
GUAUACAGCUCUAGGAGAGCCCGAGCUCUGAUGAUGGUAUUCUGAUCCUCAUGGGAACCUGCAGUUCCCAGUGGAGCGUUUGAAGAAGUUUUGGUGGUGCCAUGGUUGGCGAGGUGUGGCAGGUAGCAGGGCUUUACCUGGAGGUGGCAGUCUGAUGACUGAAAGCUGCCACUCAGGCCAUCUCAUGUGUCUGUUACCAAGGUACCAAUCCUGUGCAGGUGCAGCUGUUGCCAACUCUGCCCCCCUGUGAUGUCCCGUUUCUGGCUCCAAUAACAGGCUAACUGACCCAGAAAAAGAGCAAACUGCAGAGCAUGCUGCCCCAAUCCUGGCACCCGUGAAAGCUUUCUGGGAAGACACCACGGCACGAGUUAACAUCUACAGUGCCUACAGCAAUUAAAUCAUUGCUGGGAUAGUUUGGCUGGCCCUGGGUGAAGUAAACACAUCCCAAACAAGCUGCAAGUGAAGUGAGAAACAACACGGGCCGUUCAAGAAUGCCAGCUGCACAACUGCUGACAAACAAGACAUGCUACUUUGAUUACUUCAGUGGAUACAAUGCGGUAAUGUAAUCAUGAGGGUGUGUGGUGACGAUGCCAUUAUUCCUCUGGUAAUGUGAGGGUAGGAAACAUCAAUAAUUACACAUGUGGCAUGAUGUAUGCAGUUCCUGUAGGCAGGCAGAGGAUAAUGACAGGUGAUUAGGACAGAACUGUUGCACUGUCAUACUUGUGGUGGCCUAUCCUGUCAUUGCUUCUAUCUGUGUACUGUAAUACCAAUGAACUAACCAUGCACAGCAGUGUAAAUCACUGUUUACAUUAGAGUUGACUUCUAGUAGAGUCGGACUGGAUUGAUUUCUACUAGUACAGGCCCAAUUUACACUUGGCCAAAAAAAUCUGUCCUAGGACAUUUAACUCGCCGUGCACCGCGUGUCACAGGACAGAUAUAUUUUCGCCCUGUGUAAAUUGGGCCACAGUUCAUUAUUCAA